Molecule: ribosomal RNA, 942 nt
Filed under: Fomitopsis serialis
Lineage: Eukaryota; Fungi; Basidiomycota; Agaricomycetes; Polyporales; Fomitopsidaceae
Description: LSU rRNA
Rfam family: Eukaryotic large subunit ribosomal RNA
Source: RNAcentral
UAAGCAUAUCAAUAAGCGGAGGAAAAGAAACUAACAAGGAUUCCCCUAGUAACUGCGAGUGAAGCGGGAAAAGCUCAAAUUUAAAAUCUGGCGGUCUUCGGUCGUCCGAGUUGUAGUCUGGAGAAGUGCUUUCCGCGCUGGACCGUGUACAAGUCUCUUGGAACAGAGCGUCAUAGAGGGUGAGAAUCCCGUCUUUGACACGGACUACCAGUGCUUUGUGAUGCGCUCUCAAAGAGUCGAGUUGUUUGGGAAUGCAGCUCAAAAUGGGUGGUAAAUUCCAUCUAAAGCUAAAUAUUGGCGAGAGACCGAUAGCGAACAAGUACCGUGAGGGAAAGAUGAAAAGCACUUUGGAAAGAGAGUUAAACAGUACGUGAAAUUGCUGAAAGGGAAACGAUUGAAGUCAGUCGCGUUAGCCAGGACUCAUCCUUGUUUUUACUUGGUGCAUUUUCUGGUUGACGGGCCAGCAUCGAUUUUGACCGCCGGAAAAAGAUUGGGGGAAUGUGGCACCUUCGGGUGUGUUAUAGCCCUCAGUCACAUACGGCGAUUGGGAUCGAGGACCGCAGCACGCCUUUAUGGCCGGGGUUCGCCCACGUUCGUGCUUAGGAUGCUGGCGUAAUGGCUUUAAACGACCCGUCUUGAAACACGGACCAAGGAGUCUAACAUGCCUGCGAGUGUUUGGGUGGAAAACCCGAGCGCGUAAUGAAAGUGAAAGUUGAGAUCCCUGUCGCGGGGAGCAUCGACGCCCGGACUUGAACUUCGGUGAUAGAUCUGCGGUAGAGCAUGUAUGUUGGGACCCGAAAGAUGGUGAACUAUGCCUGAAUAGGGUGAAGCCAGAGGAAACUCUGGUGGAGGCUCGUAGCGAUUCUGACGUGCAAAUCGAUCGUCAAAUUUGGGUAUAGGGGCGAAAGACUAAUCGAACCAUCUAGUAGCUGGUUCCUGCCG